UACGGGGGUGGCGAGCGUUACUCGGAUUUAUUGGGUGUAAAGGGCAGGUAGGCGUUCCGCCAAGUUAGAAGUGAAAUCCUGUGGCUCAACCACAGAACUGCUUCUAAAACUGGCGGAAUUGAGGCUGGAAGAGGAGAGCGGAAUUCCCGGUGUAAGGGUGAAAUCUGUAGAUAUCGGGAGGAACACCAGUGGCGAAAGCGGCUCUCUAGUCUAGCUCUGACGCUAAUCUGCGAAAGCUCGGGGAG
This 245-nucleotide ribosomal RNA is filed under the name uncultured bacterium. Its description in RNAcentral is "partial 16S ribosomal RNA". It matches the Rfam family "Bacterial small subunit ribosomal RNA", at positions 524 to 768 of the family's 1533-position model. The record is from RNAcentral.